CUAAUAUACUCAUAACGAAUCCGCGCGAUUAUCACAGGACCGCGUUAUUAUUAAUAGUCGCUACGGUGAUGUGGUUUCGCUCAGCUACGAACACGGCGCAGGCAUUAUUAUAGGCAUGUUCGCCCCGAGUCGAAAUUGUAUGUAAACAUACACGCGUACACGCGUUGCUUAGAAUAACUUUGGUUUUUUUUUUUUUUUGUGUCGGCCGUCAGUUAACGAAUCAGAAACAUCAGACGACAUUAGGUCGA
Molecule: non-coding RNA, 248 nt
Organism: Cinara cedri
Lineage: Eukaryota; Metazoa; Arthropoda; Insecta; Hemiptera; Aphididae
Source: the annotation of a GenBank genome assembly